RNAcentral lists this ribosomal RNA (96 nucleotides) under Erinaceus europaeus (western European hedgehog). Lineage: Eukaryota; Metazoa; Chordata; Mammalia; Eulipotyphla; Erinaceidae. The record is from RNAcentral.
GUCUACGGCCAUACCACCCUGAACACGCCCGAUCUCGGAAGCUAAGCAGGCUUGGGACUAGUUAGUACUUGGAUGGGAAAAUAGGGAAAGUAUGGA